RNAcentral lists this ribosomal RNA (468 nucleotides) under uncultured bacterium. RNAcentral describes it as "partial 16S ribosomal RNA". It matches the Rfam family "Bacterial small subunit ribosomal RNA", at positions 28 to 507 of the family's 1533-position model. The record is from RNAcentral.
GACGAACGCUGGCGGCGUGCUUAACACAUGCAAGUCGAACGGAAAGGCCCUGCUUUUGUGGUCUGCUCGAGUGGCGAACGGGUGAGUAACACGUGAGUAACCUGCUCUUGACUUUGGUAUAACUUCAGGAAACUGGGGCUACUACCGGAUAGCAGCUCCUGCUCCAUGGUGGGGGUUGGAAAGUUUCGGCUGGUGGGGAUGGACUGGCGGCUUAUCGGUUAGCUGGUGGGGGAGUGGCUUACCCAGGCAUUGACGGGUAGCCGGCCUGUGAGCGGGACCGGGCACAAGGGGACUGAGGUACGGCCCAGUCGGCUACGGGAGGCAGCAGUGGGGAAUAUUGCACAAUGAGACGAAGCCUGAGGCAGCAACGCCGCGUGCGGGAUGACGGCCUGCUGGUUGUAAACCGCAGUCGCCUGUGACGAAGCGGGAGUGACGGUAAUGAGUAAAGAAGCACCGGCUAACUACGUG